RNAcentral lists this ribosomal RNA (613 nucleotides) under Tripterodon orbis (African spadefish). RNAcentral's name for it is "partial small subunit ribosomal RNA". It matches the Rfam family "Bacterial small subunit ribosomal RNA", at positions 547 to 1442 of the family's 1533-position model. The record is from RNAcentral. Lineage: Eukaryota; Metazoa; Chordata; Actinopteri; Ephippiformes; Ephippidae.
AGACACCGGCGUAAAGAGUGGUUAAGAACUAUGCAAAACUAAAGCCAAACACCUUCAAGGCUGUUAUACGCAUUCGAAGGCAAGAAGCCCAACUACGAAAGUGGCUUUACAACCCCUGAACCCACGAAAGCCAGGGCACAAACUGGGAUUAGAUACCCCACUAUGCCUGGCCCUAAACAUCAGCAGCACCCUACCCCCGCUGCUCGCCUGGAAACUACGAGCACCAGCUUAAAACCCAAAGGACUUGGCGGUGCUUUAGACCCACCUAGAGGAGCCUGUUCUAGAACCGAUACCCCCCGUUCAACCUCACCCUUCCUUGUUAUUUUCCGUCUAUAUACCGCCGUCGUCAGCCUACCCUGUGAAGGCCCAAUAGUGCGCAAAAUUGGCACAGCCCAGAACGUCAGGUCGAGGCGUAGCAUAUGGAGGGGGAAGAAAUGGGCUACAUUCUCUACGAUAGAGAACACGCACGGUAUAAUGAAAACAUAUACCACAAAGGAGGAUUUAGCAGUAAGCAGGAAGUAGAGUGUCCCGCUGAAACAGGCCCUUAAGCGCGCACACACCGCCCGUCACUCUCCCCGAGCCUACAAGAUUAACAUAACUAAUAUGCCACUAC